This 269-nucleotide unclassified non-coding RNA is filed under the name Hevea brasiliensis (rubber tree). Lineage: Eukaryota; Viridiplantae; Streptophyta; Magnoliopsida; Malpighiales; Euphorbiaceae. The record is from RNAcentral.
UAAUGAGAAGGAUGCUUUAUAAUAGAACAAAAUAUUCUUAUCAUGUUAUGUGGCUUUAUGUUAUAAAAGAUGAACUCUCUCAUUUAAAUUUGAACUAAUAAAAAAUGAUAGCGGGUUAAAUUAAAAUGUUAAAAUAUAUUAUUAUAGACUGUUAUAAUUUGACUAUUAUAAUUAGAGAAGUAUAUUAACAUAAAAAAAUGACAAAAAAAAUAAAAAAGAAAGAAGUGAGAGAAAAGAAUGGCUAAUGGAAGAAAAAUAGCUAAGGAAAG